CAGCAGCAGCCACGGUAAUACGAAGGGGGCUAGCGUUGCUCGGAACCACUGGGCGUAAAGGGUGCGUAGGCGGGUCUUUAAGUCAGGGGUGAAAUCCUGGAGCUCAACUCCAGAACUGCCUUUGAUACUGAAGAUCUUGAGUUCGGGAGAGGUGAGUGGAACUGCGAGUGUAGAGGUGAAAUUCGUAGAUAUUCGGAGGAACACCAGUGGCGAAGGCGGCUCACUGGUCCAUUACUGACGCUGAGGUGCGAAAGCGUGGGGAGCAAACAGGAUUAGAUACCCCUGUAGUCCCUGUCUCUUAUAC
This 304-nucleotide ribosomal RNA is filed under the name uncultured bacterium. Its description in RNAcentral is "partial 16S ribosomal RNA". It matches the Rfam family "Bacterial small subunit ribosomal RNA", at positions 506 to 807 of the family's 1533-position model. The record is from RNAcentral.